This 510-nucleotide ribosomal RNA is filed under the name uncultured bacterium. RNAcentral's name for it is "partial 16S ribosomal RNA". It matches the Rfam family "Bacterial small subunit ribosomal RNA", at positions 28 to 507 of the family's 1533-position model. The record is from RNAcentral.
GACGAACGCUGGCGGCGUGCUUAACACAUGCAAGUCGAACGAAGAGCGAUGGAAGCUUGCUUCUAUCAAUCUUAGUGGCGAACGGGUGAGUAACGCGUAAUCAACCUGCCCUUCAGAGGGGGACAACAGUUGGAAACGACUACUAAUACCGCAUACGCUCUAAUCUCGGCAUCGAGGAUAGAUGAAAGGUGGCCUCUACAUGUAAGCUAUCACUGAAGGAGGGGAUUGCGUCUGAUUAGCUAGUUGGAGGGGUAGAGGCCCACCAAGGCGAUGAUCAGGAGCCGGUAGGCGAGGAUGAGCGGCCGGAUUGAGAGGGAGACACGGCACAGACUGCUAGGGAAGGGGGCAGUGGGGAAUCUUCAGGAAUGGGCGGAAGUCUGACGGAGAAGGGCGGAGGGAGUGAGGACGGACUUCGGGUUGGAGAGCUCUGUUAAUCGGGACGAAAGGCCUUCUUGCGAAUAGUGAGAAGGAUUGACGGUACCGGAAUAGAAAGCCACGGCUAACUACGUG